AUGGAAUCUCCUCAUCACACUGAUGUUGACCCUUCUUGUCUUCUUCCUCCUGGGCAUCCCAGGUCUGGAACAAUUUCAUUUGUGGCUCUCACUCCCUGUGUGUGGCUUAGGCACAGCCACAAUUGUGGGCAAUAUAACUAUUCUGGUUGUUGUUGCCACUGAACCAGUCUUGCACAAGCCUGUGUACCUUUUUCUGUGCAUGCUCUCAACCAUCGACUUGGCUGCCUCUGUCUCCACAGUUCCCAAGCUACUGGCUAUCUUCUGGUGUGGAGCCGGACAUAUAUCUGCCUCUGCCUGCCUGGCACAGAUGUUCUUCAUUCAUGCCUUCUGCAUGAUGGAGUCCACUGUGCUACUGGCCAUGGCCUUUGAUCGCUACGUGGCCAUCUGCCACCCACUCCGCUAUGCCACAAUCCUCACUGACACCAUCAUUGCCCACAUAGGGGUGGCAGCUGUAGUGCGAGGCUCCCUGCUCAUGCUCCCAUGUCCCUUCUUUAUUGGGCGUUUGAACUUCUGCCAAAGCCAUGUGAUCCUACACACGUACUGUACAUGGCUGUGGUGAAGCUGGCCUGUGGAGACACCAGGCCUAACCGUGUGUAUGGGCUGACAGCUGCACUGUUGGUCACUGGGGUUGACUUGUUUUGCAUUGGUCUCUCCUAUGCCCUAAUUGCACAAGCUGUCCUUCGCCUCUCAUCCCAUGAAGCUCGGUCCAAGGCCCUAGGGACCUGUGGUUCCCAUGUCUGUGUCAUCCUCAUCUCUUAUACACCAGCCCUCUUCUCCUUUUUUACACACCGCUUUGGCCAUCACGUUCCAGUCCAUAUUCACAUUCUUUUGGCCAAUGUUUAUCUGCUUUUGCCACCUGCUCUUAAUCCUGUGGUAUAUGGAGUUAAGACCAAACAGAUCCGUAAAAGAGUUGUCAGGGUGUUUCAAAGUGGGCAGGAAAUGGGCAUCAAGGCAUCUGAGUGA
Molecule: RNA transcript, 963 nt
Organism: Homo sapiens (human)
Lineage: Eukaryota; Metazoa; Chordata; Mammalia; Primates; Hominidae
Gene: OR52P1
Gene name: olfactory receptor family 52 subfamily P member 1 (gene/pseudogene)
Exons: 1
Source: RefSeq, marked validated